AGAGUUUGAUCCUGGCUCAGAACGAACGCUGGCGGCGUGCCUAACACAUGCAAGUCGAACGUGAUUAGAGAGCUUGCUCUCUAUGAAAGUGGCGCACGGGUGAGUAACGCGUAGAUAAUCUGCCUGAUGAUCGGGGAUAACACUUCGAAAGGGGUGCUAAUACCGGAUAAGCUCACGGAGUCUUUGGAUUCUGCGGGAAAAGGGGGGGACCUUCGGGCCUUCUGUCAUCAGAUGAGUCUGCGUACCAUUAGCUAGUUGGUAGGGUAAAGGCCUACCAAGGCGACGAUGGUUAGCUGGUCUGAGAGGAUGAUCAGCCACACUGGAACUGAGACACGGUCCAGACUCCUACGGGAGGCAGCAGUGGGGAAUUUUGCGCAAUGGGGGAAACCCUGACGCAGCAACGUCGCGUGAGUGAUGAAGGCUCUUGGGUCGUAAAGCUCUGACAGAGGGAAAGAAGUGUAUUGUGGCUAAUAUCCACGAUACUUGACGGUACCCUCAAGGAAGCACCGGCUAACUCCGUGCCAGCAGCCGCGGUA
This 536-nucleotide ribosomal RNA is filed under the name uncultured Pseudomonadota bacterium. RNAcentral describes it as "bacterial SSU rRNA". It matches the Rfam family "Bacterial small subunit ribosomal RNA", at positions 8 to 522 of the family's 1533-position model. Lineage: Bacteria; Pseudomonadati; Pseudomonadota. The record is from RNAcentral.